RNAcentral lists this microRNA precursor (392 nucleotides) under Gossypium raimondii (Peruvian cotton). RNAcentral describes it as "miR8721a stem-loop (gra-MIR8721a)". The record is from miRBase by way of RNAcentral. Lineage: Eukaryota; Viridiplantae; Streptophyta; Magnoliopsida; Malvales; Malvaceae.
ACGUUUUAAUUAUAUCCUCAAAUUAUUGAUUUAUAUCAAGCCAAAUCCUUUCGUUAUUAAAAUUGUUAAAUGACACAUUAAAUCUUAUAUAGCUAAAUUUAAAUAAAAAUAGAAUGUUGUCGCAUAACUUUUAAAAGUAAAAAAUAAAAAUAAAGUAAAACUGAAUAAAAAGAGUGAACAAUAAAGCCUCCGUAAAAGCUUUGAAAACCUCAAAGCUACAUUUUUAAAAACAUCAAUUUUUACAUAUUCAUUUUUUCUUAAAGUUUUUCAUUUUAAAUUAUAUAACAUAAAGUUAAGAUAUAGUGUGUCAUUUAAUAGUUAAAUUAACAAUUUUAAUAAUGGAAGGACCUAAUUAAUAUAACAUCGAUAGUUUGAGGAUGUAAUUAAAAUGA